This 490-nucleotide ribosomal RNA is filed under the name uncultured bacterium. RNAcentral's name for it is "partial 16S ribosomal RNA". It matches the Rfam family "Bacterial small subunit ribosomal RNA", at positions 29 to 507 of the family's 1533-position model. The record is from RNAcentral.
AGUGAACGCUGGCGGCAGGCCUAACACAUGCAAGUCGAACGGCAGCACAAGAGAGCUUGCUCUCUGGGUGGCGAGUGGCGGACGGGUGAGGAAUGCAUCGGAAUCUGCCCAUUUGUGGGGGAUAACCUCGGGAAACCGGGACUAAUACCGCAUACGACCUACGGGUGAAAGCAGGGGAUCUUCGGACCUUGCGCAGAUGGAUGAGCCGAUGCCGGAUUAGCUAGUUGGGGGGGUAAAGGCCCACCAAGGCGACGAUCCGUAGCUGGUCUGAGAGGAUGAUCAGCCACACUGGGACUGGGACACGGCCCAGACUCCUACGGGAGGCAGCAGUGGGGAAUAUUGGACAAUGGGCGCAAGCCUGAUCCAGCCAUGCCGCGUGUGUGAAGAAGGCCUUCGGGUUGUAAAGCACUUUUGUUGGGAAAGAAAAGCAGCCGGUUAAUACCCGGUUGUCAUGACGGUACCCAAAGAAUAAGCACCGGCUAACUUCGUG